AUGGAGCACGGGCGAGACGAGGAAGCAGAAGAGGUGUUGGGGGACAUAAUCUUAGCCGAAGAAGGAGACCGUGGUGACGGCUCCGGUGACCGAACAAAGUCCGGCCAGCCCUCCGGAUCGAGCACAACUUCGGUAAAGAGACGAGGCCCGAAGAAAAAGUUGCGCUCGGAUGAAAGGUUUGAGAUCACAGCAAUCGCGCGCGAUGGCCAACUGAUUGAACCCAUCCGGACAAAGGAAGCAUUUUCUGCUCAGUGCGGGGUUCUUGUUAGGGACAAGAUCCCGAUCAGCAUCCACCAAUGGUAUAAGCCUAAGAACGAAGACCCUGAGGUGUCUUAUGUCAAUGAUAUGCAGAAAGAUGAUCUUUGGACUGAGCUGAAGGAAAAUUUCACCCUACCGCCAGAGGAGGAUCCGGAGAAGCCAGUUCAAGAGCAAUUAAUCAAGUCUCAUGCUCUUAAGAAGAUGGCAGACCUAUUCAGGAGGUGGAAGAAUGAGCUGAAAACGUUUGUCGACAAAGAAGAGACACCAGAAUUCAUCGGCAAAUAUGAGAAGAUCAGAGAUCACUGGCCCGCAUUUUUGGCCCACAAGACAUCGAAAAAGAGUAAGAAGAUGUCAGCGACAAACAAGGAAAAUGCUGCGAAGAAGAAGCUUCACCAUCACACGGGGUCAGGUGGCUACCUCAAAGCCCGACCAUACAAUGAACUGGCCAAACCGUUGCCGGACUUGGUUCUUCGGGGCUGGCGGAACCUUGGACCCUAUAUCAAGGAAAGUGCGUUUGGACGGAUGAGCAAAUGA
RNAcentral lists this ribosomal RNA (792 nucleotides) under Triticum aestivum (bread wheat). Its description in RNAcentral is "partial small subunit ribosomal RNA". The record is from RNAcentral. Lineage: Eukaryota; Viridiplantae; Streptophyta; Magnoliopsida; Poales; Poaceae.